CUUGUGAUAGGGAGACAAGAGUCCUAGGAAGGAAAUAGAACUUGUGAUAGGGAGACAAGAGUCCUAGGAAAUGGAAGGAGAGCACGUUUCACUCUGUCCAGCAGAGGGCAGCAGCUACCCACAAAUCAACAGCCGAGCAAAGCCAGGGCUGUGUGGGAGCUAUGCACAGGUUCUGCCUCCAGAAGCCUUCAGUGCCAGCCUCUGAGCCAGAGGGUUCCAAGCAGAAGAGGUCCUCCAAGCCCCUCUCAGCUCUUACUUACGGCAUCCCAGAUGCCCUAUUCCUCUUCUGCAGAGAGAAGGUGGGUCAGCCACUAAAUGGUGCUGGGACCUUGCAGUUUGGUGGGAAGGAGGAAGCUUACUCAAGCAAGGAAGAUGAGACAGGCAGAAACCCACGCAUAAGUCAAAAGCCCCUCCAAAGCGAGGUGUUGUUCCAGGCUGACAAGUGUCCAGCAGGGUGGACUUCAGACUCCCUGUUAGGAACUGAAUUGUGUCCCCCAAAAAGAUAAAGUCACCCCAGGGUAUGACCUAAUUCAGGAAAGGUCAUUGCAGAUGCAUUUAAUUAAAUGAAGAUGAGCUCAUGCUGGAGUAGGGUGGACUCUGAACCCAGUAGGACAAGCGUCCUUGUUAAGAAGAGGGAAAUCUGGACACACACAGAGCAGAGACCGCCGUGUGAAGAUGGAGGCAGAGAUCGGAGAGAUGCUGCCACAUGCCACAAAUGCCUGGGGCUCCCAGAAACUACACGGAGCCUCCCCCAGCGGCUUCAGCAGGAGCAUGGCUCGGCCAACACUUUAAUCUUGGUCUUCCAGCCUCCAGAACGGUGAGUCGUUUUCCUAAAAUUCCCUUUUCCACUGGUGUGUGGUGCAAGAUGAGGCACAUUUUCCAUGGAUGGUGAACAGAGGGAGGAGCCUUUUGAUCACAACCCGGUCACCCCACUUCUAAGCCACUGUGCCUCCAGCCCCACAAGACUAAGGAGAGAGAGCGCAGAGUGGUGGAGAGUGAGCUGUGCUGGGACCGUUGUUUCCGUAACCUCGUUUUCUGUGUCCAGCUGACACACCUUCAAAGCGGCAUCAGGUCCUACACUGUAGCUUGCAAUGUGCCUGUUUCCAGAAACCAAGGUGAAAGUGCUUUUAGACAGUGUUCCCAUGCAAGAGUCCCUUCCCAGCUUUUUUCUGGAAAUGCAUGUUUCUCUGAACUCUGAGUCCCAAGAAAAAUCAUUUGAGACAUCAAGAAAAUGGGGGAAGUGCUAAAAUUGUGUGGGAAUUCAAGCUUAACAAUAAACAUCAAGACAUUUUUGGUAAAAAUGAAUCCACUGACAUCGGGGAGGAGCAAGAGAACAGCACGCUGACACUGGGUCAGAGGCUAAGACCGACAUUUCUGGGAACCACUCCCGGAAGGGCACAGAUGAGACACUUUCAGCCUCUCGUCAGCCAGCCUGGCCUGUAGCUGCUGCACGUUAUGAGUGUGUUCCUGGCAUGACUGCUUCUAACAGUGAGUUUUCUGGCAAAUCAAAUAAAUACUAAUAAGUCUGUAUGCACAUUAUACUUUAUACAAAUCCUAUGAGUGAUGUUCCAGAAAUAACAAGUUUUGAAGGCAAAAUAAGUCCUUAAAUUGGCAACUUUGACACAUAAUUCCAUGUAGUAGUUAAUCUUGCUAGAAGAUCCCAAUGUUGUUAUUCUAAUACAAUCUGAUAAUGUUCACUGGCAUUUUCCACUGUUGGCCUCUUUACUAUAGCCUACAGUUGUUUGUUUGUUUAUUUGAGAUGGAGUCUUGCUCUGUUGCCUAGGCUAGAGUGCAGUGGCGUGAUCUUGGCUCACUGCAACCUCCCCCUCCCAGGUUCAAGCAGUUCUCCUGCCUCGGCCUCCCUAGAAGCUGGGAUUACAGGCACGUGCUACCACGCCCAGCUAAUUUUUGUAUUUUUGGUAGAGACGUGGUUUCAUCAUAUUGGCCAGGCUGGUCUUGAACUCCUGACCUCAGGUGAUGAGCCUGCCUCGGCCUCCCACACACAGUGCUGGGGUUACAGGUGUGAGCCACGAUUCCCGGCUGCCUACAGUUCUUUGUAAAGCAGACAAAAUAGUUUCAUUUUUUAAAGAAAUGAACAUAUAUGAGGCAACCUGUACCUAAUUUAGGAGUUCAGAAAUUCCCUGGACUGCCUAUACAUUUUGGUUUCUCAUUCCUAAUUCCCAAAGAUUAAAAUCUGUCAGGAAUUUGGAAACACUGAAUCACAGGCCAAAAUAGGACCAUGUCUCCAUUCAUUCAUUCAUUCAACAAUUAUUUAUUGAGCGCAUGCUGUUUUUCAGGCACUGUGCCACAUAUUGAAAAUAGAGUAGUGAGUAAGACAAAGUCAUCACUUUAGGGAGUUUAUAUUUUAGAGGAGAGAAAGACAAAUAAAAGUGUUUAGGCUGGGCAUGGUGGCUCACACCUGUAAUCCCAGCACUUUGGGAGGUCAAGGCAGGUGGAUCACCUGAGCUCAGGAGUUCAAGACCAGCCUGGGCAACAAUCCCAUCUCUAACAAAAACAUAAAAAAUUAACCGGGUGUGGUGGCACAUGCCUGUGGUCUCAGCAACUUGGGAGGCUGAGGUGGGAGGAUCUCUUGAGCCUGGGAGGCAGAGGUUGCAGUGAGCUGAGGUUGUGACACUGGACUUCAAUCUGAGUGACAGAUCCCAUCUCAAAAACAACCCUGGGCAGGGUGUGGUGGCUCACACCUGUAAUCCCAGCACUUUGGGAGGCUGAGGCAGGCAGAUCAUGAGGUCAGGAGAUUGAGACCAUCCCGGCUAACAUGGUGAAACCCCGUCUCUACUAAAAAUACAAAAAAUUAGCUGGGCGUGGUGGCGGUUGCCUAUAGUCCCAACUACUUGGGAGGCUGAGGCUGGAGAAUUGCUUGAACCCGGGAGGCGGAAGUUGCAGUGAGCCGAGAUUGCACCGCUGCACUCCAGCCUGGGCAACAGAGUGAGACUCCAUCCCAAAAAAAAAAAAAAAACUCAGAACUGUUUAAUACAAUGUACUGGCAAGUGGUGAUGAGCACUAUGGAAACGUGAAGCAAUGUUUGAGUGCAGCGAGUGAAGCGGUGCUGUUUUGUAUGUGAUUGUCAUGAGGACCCCUCAGAAGAGCAGAGAGCUGAAUGCAGUGAGCAUAGAACCUUACUGAGGCCUGGGCAAGGCUCUUGCAGACAGCAAACUGCCCUGAGGCAGGACUGUGUUUGGCGUGUCCUGGAAACAGGAAAGAAGCCAGGGCCUCUGGAAUGUGGUGAAGGAGAGGGAAAAGUAGGAAAUGAGGCUGGACAGAGAGGCAGGGGCCAGAACAUAUAGGGCUGUGUAAGUCACAUUGAGUUCUUUAGAUUUUCCUGUAAGUGUGGAUGGGAAGCAGUUGGAGGGUUUUGAGGAGGGGUGGUGUGAUCUGACCCGCAUUUUAGAAUCAUCCUGUUGGCUGAAGUGUGGAGGAAAAAAGCAGGGGGCAGAAGUAGAGGUGAGGGGCAGCCAGUUAGGAGGCUACAGGAGUAGCCCAGACCAGACAGGAGGGUGGCUCGGCCCUCAGAGAUCUUGGUGGGGCAGAUUAAAGAGUGAUCAAGUUAGAGCUAACAGGACUUUUUGUUUUUAGACUGGGUCUCGCUUGUUGCCCAGGCUGUAGUGCACUGGUGCAAUCAUGGCUCACUGCAGCCUUGACCUCCUGGAUCAAGGUAUCCUCCCACCUCUCAGCCUCCCAAGCAGCUGGGACUACAGGUGCACGCCACCAAGCCCAGCUAAUUUUUGUAUUUAUGGAGAUAUGGGUCUCACCAUGUUACCCAGGCUGGUCUUGAACUUCUGGGCUCAAGCCAUCUGCCUGCCCUGGCCUUCCAAAGCAUUGGAAUUACAGGCCUGAGCCACUGUGCCAGGCCAGAGCCAACAGGACUUACUGAGAAAUUAUCUGAGAGAGAGGGGUCAAGGAAGACUCCCUCUGUUCAACCAAGCAACGAGGUGAAUGGUGCUGCUGCUUCCUGAGAUGGGGAAGACUGUAGAGGAAACAAACCAGGAAUGACAAAUCAGUAAUUUAGCUUCGAAUACAUUAGGUUUGAGAUGUCUAGUCUGUACCCAAACAGACCACACUGUGGCAUCUGGGCAGCAGGAUCUGCAGAAUCCAGCAGGAUGGAUGCUGAUGCCAAGCUGAGUAGACAGUUGGGUCUGUGAGUCUAAAGCUCAGGGAAGACCUCAGGGUCUGGGAAACAAAUCUGGAGAUCAUCACCCUGUCCAUGAAAGCCAAGGGAAUGAUGGAAGAUACUAUGAGAAAAAGUGAAGAGAGGAAAGAGAAGAGGUCCAUGGAAGGAGACCUGGGAGAAUCCAACCUUCGAUUAGAUCAGGAAGAGGAGAAGGAUCCAGUAAAAAACUCUGAGAAGUCUCUGGGAAGGAAGUCUUCCUUCCUUCCCCUGUACCAGGAGAGGUGCUAUCCUAGAAAUUAGUAAAGAAACAGUUUUUGAUGGGGAGAGCAGGAUCACCUUUGUCAACUGCUGCUGCGAGACUUGGAAAAAUAAGGACUGGGAAGAGAGCAAUAGAAACUUUGAAAGCCAUUGGUUAUCUUGACAAGAGUUGUUUCUGUGGGGGUGGUGAGAACUGGAGCCUGAUUGGAUGGGUUCAAGAGAGAAUGGGGAGUUCUAGCCAAGAAGGCUGAUGAGGAUGAGUCAAAUUAAAAAUGUUUUCUUUUUAUGAGUCCUCUCAUAUUUACUGAUACAACUGAUAUAUUUGGUCUCCAUUCUGCCACAUUACUUUAUAUUGAUCAUGUACUGUAUCUGCUAUGUUUCCCCAUGCAAUGUUAUUUUUUUACUUUAAAAAUUGUAUUUAUAAAGGUUUGUAAUUUUAUUCCAGUGGUUAUUUUAUAUGUACACUUUUUUAAAUGCUUUUAAUUUUUUUUUUUUAAGACAGGGUCUUGCUCUUUGCCCAGGCUGGAGUAUAAUGGCAUGAUCCUGGCUCAUCAAAGCCUUGGCCUCCUGGGCUCAGUAAGUCCUCCCACCUCAGCCACCUGAGUAGCUGGGACUACAGGCAUGUGCCACCACAACAAACUAAUUUUUUUGUAUUUUUUGUAGAAAUGGUGUCUCCCUGUGUUGCCCAGGCUGGUCUCAGUCAGGCGAUCCAGCGCACAAGCAAUCCUCUCACCUCAGCCUCCCUUGGCUCUUACUCUUAUUUUCGUGUUUAAGCUUUUACUAUCUGGUUUAUAAAUACUAUAGUAUUCUUCAUCUCCCAUCCAUUGCUCAUACAACAAUCUAGGGGCAUAUUCCGUUUUUCUCUUUCUAUUUCCCUUGUCCCAUUUUUGAGUUGCACUAUUUCCUUAUCAUCUCUUAUCAGCUGAAGCUCAUUCUCUAGUAUACCGUCAGAAAACUUUUUAUUUUUUGCAAGGGGCCAGAUAGUAAAUAUGUUCAGUUUUGCAGGCAUGCAAUCUCUGCCACAGCUCUACCAUUGUAGAGUAUAAGCAGCCAUAGACAAUAUGUAAACAAAUAGGUAUGGCUGUCUUCCCAUAAAACUUUAUUUGCAAAAACAGGUGGUGGGCCAGAUUUGGCCUAUAGGCUAAAGCCCUAUCUUAGAGUAGCAGCAGAUAAGGAGACAGAAAAACUGUACAGGAGGUGAGAGAAAACUGGCAGGAGAGCUAGGGUGAUAUUGACGAAAGAGGAGCCCUUUAAAUCUUCCAGGGGUAGAAAAAAUGAAAUUCUUUGAUGUUACUCAAUAGUUUACCUGCUCGGAAGGAGGAAAGGUGUCUCUUCCAUCUCAGGGUUGGCUCGGCAUCCAUCCUGCUGGAUUCUGCAGAUCCUGCUGGCCAGAUGCCACAGUGUGGUCAGCUGAAAGUGAUUUGCUCAUCCUGAAAACAGCAGGUAUAGAAAGCGCUCUUUCAGCGCCAUGGCAACCAGAUCGUGUUUUUCUAAAAAAGGAUCAGAUCAGCGGGUGUGUCCCUCCAGGCAUUGAUCCAUUAAUAUGCACUGAGCUCAUUUCAGAGCCAGGCCCUGGGCUGAGUGCUUGGAAUACAAAGAUGCAAAAGGCUAAGUCCUUGUUUUUAAGGAGCUCAUAGACUGGAGGAGGAGGCAGACGUGCACAGUAAACAGUGUAAUCACACGUCAUCAAAGGAAGGGACACACAAAGGGCUGGGGAGCAUCUCCUCCUCUUUGGGAGAAACUGACCUGGAGACCUAAGGUUGAGCUGACAAACUGGGAUGGGUCAAGGAAAAUGGAGAAGCUUGAGAGCUGUGGCAGCUCCGUGAAAUGGCAAGUAUGGCCAGAGGAUGGCAUCUCCAGGGUGCCGGAGAUGGCCAUGGAGAGGCACUGAGGCCAGGCCAUGCCGGGCCUCUGCUGCCUCUGCUGUCACCAAGGUCAACCACAACCUAGUGCCCAAGCCAGUGGCAUUUUCCAGCCUACUUUUACUGAUCCCUUCUUUUAGAAAAUGCUCCCUUGACAGUCUGAUUUUCAUGGUAUCAUGAUCCGCUAUCUCUGAUGUGUCCUCUGUACAUCCAGCUGCUCUUUCUCACUCUCUUAUUUGUGCUCUCACUUCCUUAAAUUUUAACCUUCUUCUCGUGCUGCACUUUCUCCAGGUAUAUGAGAAACCUCUCCAUUUUUCACUUUCAUUUGCAUUGCUCUUUGCCUGUUGGCCUCAAUUUCUCCUACCACAAGAUGAGCCCCUCUACGUAUCUAAGAAUGUGGCCUCAAGAACCCCAGUGUGGCAAUCCCAGUGAAAAGCCUUUUCCCAGUACUCAUCUCUCCAUCCUGGGGAAGGCAUGGGAUUGCUUUUGGUUGGUUGUGUACCUACCCUGGGACACAGCACUAUUAUCAGAGUGAUGGGCCAAUACAAUAUAUGGUGAGGGAAAUGAGGUUCCAUGAUUGGCCCCAUCAGUCACAAGGAUGGAAAGGCAGUUUCCUAAGACAGAUGUAUCAGGCAGGAGAGAGGAGCUAUACAAUGUCAACAGGGAAAGUGUAAUAUAAAUAAUCAUGAACUAAUAAUAGAGGGUUAGCCACUAAGGGAUAAAAAGAAGUCUAAAGGUUACAGAAACAGGUGAAUGGAUAAACAAAAUGAAAUGUUAUUCUGCCAUAAAAUGGAAUGAAAUUCUGAUACAUGCUACCCCAUGGAUAAACCUUGAAGACAUUAUGCAAAAUGAAAUAAGCCAGACUCAAAAGGGCAAAUAUUAUAUGGUGCCACUUAUACAAUGUACCAUGAAUAGUCAAUCCAUAAAGACAGAAAGUAGAAUGGAGGUUUUCAGGAGCUGGAGGAAGGGGAGAAUGGGAAGUUAUUGUUUAAUGGGUGAUACGGUUUGGCUCUGGGUCCCCACCCAAAUCUCAUCUCAAAUUGUAAUCCCAAGUCAAGGGAGGGACCUGGUGGGAGAUGAUUGGAUCAUGGAGGUUAUUCUUGUGAUAGUGAGUGAGUUCUCAUGAGAUUUGAUGGUUUAAAAGUAUGUGGCUCCCUUCUGUUUCUCUUUUUCUCUCUCUCCUGCCACUUUGUGAAGAGAUCUGCCUUGCUUACCUUCACCUUCCACCAUGAGAGUGUUUCCCAAGGCCUCCCCAGGCACACAGAACUGUGAAUCAAUCAAACCUCUUUUCUUCAUAAAUUACCCAGUCUCAGGUAGUAUCUUUAUAGCAGUGUGAGAACAGACUAUUACAAUGGGUAUAGAGUUUCACCUUGGAUUGAUAGAAAAGUUUUGGAAAUAGAUAGUGGUGAUGGCUGCAAAGCAUUGUGAAUGUAUCUAAUGUCACUGAAUUGUACACUUAAAAAUGGUUAAAAUGAUAAAUGUUAUAUAUGUUUUACCACACACACAAAAAAAUGCAGGCCAGCCUGGCCAGCAGGGUUUAACCCUGUCUCUACUAAAAAUACAAAAAUGAGCUGGGUGUGGUGGCACAUGCCUGUGAUCCCAGCUACUCUGGAGGCUGAGGCAGGAAAAUCUCUUGAACCUGAGAGGUGGAGGUUGGAGUGAGCCGAGAUCGUGCCACUGCACCCCAGCCUGGGCAAUAGAGUGAGAUUCCAUCUCAAAAACAACAAACAAACAAAGAAAAAACAGGAAUCGUGGAUAUAGGGGCAGGCACUAGCUCUAGGGCUGAAGCAGAGAACCCAAGGAAGGAACCAACUUGGAAAAAGGUCUCCCCAGGAAUGAGACUCAGAUGCCGUUGGAGAUGGUGUGGCUAGAGCCCGCAGGAUGGCAGAGAAGUUUGUUGUAGUGCUUGAGGCCGGGCUGGCAUGCAAGAAACCCGUGCACCAGUGGGGGCAGCGGGGUGGGGGCUGACAACACUCACUGAAAAGCUGCCCUCUGAGGUGCAGGCACUCACUAGGACUUCACCCGUGGUAUGUUACUGAAACUCAGGGGAGCCAACUGCUGGAGAAUUUAUGAGACACACUAUGCCACCAUCUGGGGCUUCAGCAGCGUUUGGUGAAAACCUGCCUGUGGGGUUGCUGUUAAAUUUGCUGGAGAGCUGACUGAGGUGCUAGCAGAACUCCUUAGGAAAUCACCAGGAUGAGCAUCCCUGGGUGCCCCAUGCACCAGUCAAGAGCAGGAGCAAGAGGAAAGGAAGGUAGCCUCUUCUUCCUGCAGUGUCUCUCCAGAGCCCUCCAUUGACAGCACUUAAUAUUGUGCUAGCAGGCAAAGAAGUGUUUACAGGAUUCAGCUCCAGUAUCACAAAGGAGGAUAACGAAGAGUGGAUUUGGAAUUCAGAGGCUCUAAAGUGAUAACUGUCACAGCCCACCCCUUUGGCUACUCAGUUUCCAUAUGCACCCUCCUACACAUACCUGAACUUCUAUAUGACAACGAACAAAACACAGCUAUCCUUCUUACCAGGGAAAAUAUUCCUACCCUUUCUCCCAAAUGAGAAGAUACUCAGUGCCAACAACAAUUUUAUCUAUCUCUGGCUAUAUUCAUUACUCGAAUUUGAUCACAGUCCCUCUAAAUAUUCUGUUACCAAAAGACCAAAUUGUAAAGCUAACCUCCAACAACUGGUAUAUAAACUAAUAAAGGGAAGAAGGAGAGAGAGAGAAAAUGGAUGGCAUUUUCCCAUCACCCAUCUAUCAGUGGGAAAGAACUCUGGGGAAGUGCUCUUGAGGAAAUAUCUUUGGGAAGAAUCCCUGAUUGGCCCUACUUGGGUCAUGUGUGUUGGAAUCUGUGAAAGUCGGGAAUUUUGCCCAUCUUACAAGCUAGUAAGCCUGUUAUGGUUUCAUGGAUGCUGGCAGAUGACAUGAGACUGGAUCAGAGACAAAGGACUACACUACUCAUGGCAGAACAAGUUGCACGAGGUUUGUGUUAGUUAGCAUUGGUUUUCCUUGUCCCCAAGUCCCACAGGGGUGAUGUGGAGGGGCCCAGGUGGUUACUGUACACGCAGUGUGUUUGUACUGCAGCUAAGGAACACUGAGCUUGGGAACAUACAAUUUAAUAGUAAGUGGUGAGCAAGUCUGCCCUUUGUCUGGGGCAGGGGGAUAUUGCUUUGUCAAGGCUGUCUACUGCAAACACAACCCUGAGAAAUAUCUCAAGCAAGGAACAGUCAGGACCUUGCAUUCUUGUCAUCCCCAGCAAGAGCAUGCAGAGACAAUCAGAGCCUGUGGCAAAUUGCCUGUCACAAAAAUCCACCACAAGGCCUGACAGAUCCUUGGCCAAAUUCACAUUUUCCCAUGAGUAUGCUACCUCAUCAGCUGCUCUGAUUAGUCUGACCAACAGAGGGACCAAAUCUGUUUAAUUUGAUUCCUAUCACAUUUAAAAUUAAGGCUGCUAUUGACAGGACUUCAAGCAAUACAGUGCAGCAAGUCUGCCAUAUUGAUCUCACCCAUGUCCCCAGGGUCCCGGGCUCAGCCAACUGUCUAAAAGUUCUGGGGGCGAGGGAGACCAGUCAUUCUUAUUUCAGAUAGCUAGGAUAAAAUCUAAUAUCAGUCUAGUAUUCAUUAUGACCCACUUAUGGGAGUUUAGAUUCACUGAUAUCAUUGCCAGUGACUACAGGAGGCAAUGUAGGGAGCAAAGACCCUCAUCCCUGAUGGAAGGACAUUCAUGGCCUCUCCCUUUCAAAGAGACAAUCCAAAGGGGAGCAGGUCACUCUAGUUUGGAAUUUGUUGUUAAAUUUUAUUUGAAUCAUCAUUGCAUUGGUUUGGUUAGGUAAGAUGGUUAAAUUUUAUGUGUCAACUUGGCUGGGUCAUGGGACUAAGAUAUUUGGUCAAACAUUACUCUGGAUGUUUCUGUGAGGGUGUUUUUGGAUGAGAUUAACAUUUAAAUCAUUGGACUUUGAGUAAAGCAGAUGACUCUACCUAAUGUGGAUGGCCCUCAGCCAAUCAAUUGGAGGCCUAAAUAGAACAAAAGACUGACCUCUUCCAGGCAAGAUGGAAUUCUGCCAGCACAUGAACUUUGCACUUGAACUGAAACAGUGGCUCUCCUGGGUCUCCAGCCUGCCAGCCCCCACCCUGCAGAUUUUGGACUUGCCAGCCUCCAUAAUCAUGGCAGCCCAUUCCUUAAAAUAAAUCUCACUCUCUCUCUUCCUCUAGAAUAUACAUAUAUAUAUAUAUAUAUAUAUAUACACACACACACACAUAUUAUAUAUAUUUUAUAUGCACACACAAAAUAACAGAUAGAUAGAGAUCAUAUUAGUUCUGUUUUUUUGGAGAACCCUGACUAGUCCUAGUUGCCUUUCUUUUCUUUUUCCACUUUUCUUCUGAGCUCAUGUUCCACCUUCUGAUAUCUUAACAUCAUUUCCCUGAGCUCACUUUAUCCUUUUCCUUCUUAAAGGUGACCAUUUCAUUAAGUUUUUAAGUGCCUGGUAAUUGCUUGGUUAUGACCGGUGUCUGCUCCAUGGCAGCCUCUUCCUGGUGAGUAUUCCACAUCUGCCAUUGGUUUUUCCUAUCCCUUUCCUACAUUUGCAGAGAUCCUGCAUGUCUUCCUUUUUGAUGACUCAUCUUUGAACAAGUGGAAUUUUUUUUUUUUUUUUUUUUGAGACAGAGUCUCACUCUGUCGCCAGGCUGGAGUGCAGUGGCGCAAUCUUGGUGCACUGCAACCUCCGCCUCCCGGGUUCCAGUGAUUCUCCUGCCUCAGCCUCCCAAGUAGCUGGGACUACAGGUGCCCGCCACCAUGCCCAGCUAAUUUUUUGUAUUUUUAGUAGAGACGGGGUUUCACCAUGUUGGCCAGGAUGGUCUUGAUCUCUUGACCUCGUGAUCCACCUGCCUCAGCCUCCCAAAGUGCUGGGAUUACAGGCGUGAGCCACCACGCCCGGCCAAACAAGUGGAAUUUUUCCUGGACCAGCUCUUUGCUGGUCAUGUGGGAGGAGUUGGGGCUGUGUUCCAAGUCAGCUGGAAUUUUUCUUAUAACCCAGGAUUUUACGUGUGAGCUUGAUCAGCCUUUACUUCUCAGCUUAAGCAGGUCUGGGCAUGUUUGGCAACCUGGCCUGCAUGAUGAAGAUUUCCAUAAUUUGGUGUUCAUCUAUUUAUUCAGUUUUUGCCCUAAUGAUGAAGGAGGAAGUUUACAUCUUGCUCCCUGGGGACAGGCAGAGAUAGUGUGUGCACUUCCAUCCUACAAGGACCAGAUCUGAACAGUCUGGAGAGAGGAGCUGUGGUGGCAGCAGACAGAUCUCUGCUUCAGGGGCCAGGUGUCCAGGUGAGACGCCACAGCGCGGCAGAGAGAACAGAGGCUUCUCUGCAUGCCUGCCAGGGAAUUGGCACCAUGUCAACAGAAAUCUUAGGUUACAGGAACAGGAACCAGCCCUGACUGACGUGUGCAAGCCUGGAGCUUUCCUUUCUCCUUGCACUUCCCACAUGUUCCCCACAUAACCAGCAACCACAGAGCCACCCCCUGCCACCCAGCAACUCCCUCCUGAGCUAGAAACUUGUAAGACUCAGCUAGGAGUCUGAAUGAUUGGAUAUCUAAAGCAAAGAAUAAUCUAGUUUGUAACAUGGGAUCAAAGGAAGAACUGAAUAUCCACAAUCUGUAAAAGAGGCCACUUUGGAGAUUUCUAUGCCUCUCAGGGGCUCUACCUCAGGAUGGCUCAGCUGUAAUUAUCUUCGGAUUCCCAUACAGAUCCAACUUCCCUGGAAAGAGAAAGUCUCAUGUUUGUUAAUAAUAUGAGGAAAGAAUUAAAAUAUAUCAGCUUCUAUGGGCUAAUGUCAUUUAUUUUGACUUUUCUUUUGUAGAAGAAAUGCUGAGGCAGUGUCACGCUGGUGUCUGUCCUCCUUACAGAAUGCCUGAACAGUUCCAUUGACUCAAAGUGAAGAUCAAAAGAACCAAAGGACAGCAAUAGCCAAGUGUAAUCAUCAGUAACCCUGUGUUCUAUCCACAGGUAAAAAACAAUCAUCCUCUUCAUUAUGGGUUUCAAUUUUAAAUGUAAUACAUUUUUAGAAAUGCCUAUUUCCUUUUAUAAUCUCUUUAUAUAAUCUAGGUUAUUCUGGCUCUUAGGUCUUCAUUUAGCUACUGAAAAGAUUUGAUCUCAAAUCAAUGUUCUAACCACCCAUGACCAUCUCCCACCUCUCUCCCCGUACAGCCCCCAGCAUGAAUUCUGGGAACUCAGGUAAAAUGCUUUCUGGAAACCUGCCUGUAUUAGUCUGUUGUCAAGCUGCUAAUAAACACAUACCCGAAACUGGGUAGUUUAUAAAGGAAAGAGGUUUCCUUUAUAGUUCCACAUGGCUUGGGAGGCCUCACAAUCAUGGUGGAAGGCGAAUGAGAAGUAAAGUCACAUCUUGCAUGGCAGCAGGGAAGAGAGAGUUUGUGUAGGGGAACACCCCUUUAAAAAACCAUCAGAUCUUGUGACACUCAUUCACUGUCACGAGAACAGCACGGGAAAGACCCGCCCCCAUGAUUCAAUUACCUCCCAUGACACAUGGGAAUUAUAGGAGCUACAAUUCACAAUGAGAUUUGGGUGGGGACACAGACAAACCAUGUCACCGCCUAAAACCAACUCAAUAGUCUAAGGAAUUUGACUGGGGAGAAUCUGGAGAGGAUUUAAUUAAUUUGGCAAAAGGAUUAGCAGUUGAAUCUAAUGAGAAAAGAGAAUUCUUGGAGGAAAAAAAGAUGUUUAGUUACACUGAGAAAUUAAAACCUGAAGUAAUUGCCUUUGAGAUUUUUUUCAGGAAAUGAGUAUUGACUGCCUACUGUGUGUCAAAUUAUGUGUUUCAUGUCAAAGACUCCAAAGUAGAUAAGAUAUAGGCCCAGCCUUGGGGAGCUCAUUGAGUCACAGAGAAAGUUUGAAUGUUUCAGAGGAAUCAUCAAGAACAGGGGAUCAGCAAUCUAUUAUAUUUUAAUUGCGUCUUUUCAUGAUUAUAAAAGCAAUGCAUGCCUGCUGAAGAGAAUUUGGAAAAACAAAGAAGAAAUUAAAAAUCAUCUCUGAUCCUGCCACCAGAAAUAACCACUGUUAGCAAUUGUAUCACUUCUGUAGGUCUACAUGGUUAUCAUAAUAAGCUCUAGUAUUGAUUACAUGCAUCUCAUGUACCAGAGAUUAUGCUAGACUCUCAUUUAAUCUGUACAUUAGCCCUAUGAAGUAGGGACCAUCAUUCUCCUCAUUUUACAGAUGAGGAAACAGAGGCUUGGAGAGGUUACUCUGCCUAAAGUCUCAUAGCUAGCGAGUGGCAGAGAUUGGACUCACCCAAGCUUUGUCUUAUUCUCAAGCUCUCAACCAACCCGGUGGUGAGAAGAGCCAGCAGCAAAGCCUGUCAUCUUUGUCUUCUUUUUUUUUCUAACCUCAAAUCAGGGAGAAAAUGCCCUUUGUCAUUAGAAGGGCAAGGCAAUUCUGAAGACAGCCCAGUGGCCUUGUCUCCGAUUUGGCUUUCAGGGGCCUGUCUGAUACCUAUGGAGAGACGAGGGCUGAACAAGCUGUACUCUCAAAACGAAACAAAGCAAAACAAAACUUUAGUCUCUUUAGGGACUCUCUGAUAGUAAUGCAGAGGGAGAAAGGCUUUCUUUGUCUCACUGGGAGGAAGGUUCCCUACGGAAAUUGAAGGCAGUGCCUGUUGACAUAGCGCUGCCACCUGGUGGAAAUAAUGGUGUAGGACAUCAUGUCCAGCACCACUAGCGCUGAGAGACACUCCCUGGGAAGAGAAAUGUUUGGAGAGAAAUUUGCAAGAAGUUGGAAGUCUUGCAGUAGCAGGUAGGAACAAGAAUUAUAACUGCUACUGUGAUCCCCUAAGGCUCCUCACAUCCUCUUAAGGCUUGGAGAAACUCACACUAUGUAUAUUUUCCUGUAUUUUUGAAAAAUGUUUUCCUUUAUGCUUUGUUGUAAUGAAAUUACCUCUGAUGGUCACAUACCUUAAAUAUUUAGUAUAUAUAUGAAUACUAAAUGUCCAUUUUCAGGAGUUAGUUUACCUGCAUCUAAAAUCAGGAAUAUGUCACAGAGUAACUGAGCAAAAAGUGCUGUUAGGUUUGUGCAUUUCACCCUUUGCCUGGGAUGAGAGGACCUCAAUCAUCUUGGUACUAAUGACAGGAAAAGUGCCCUCCUAUCCAUGUGUAUUGGCUACUUGACUCAAGUCUCCUUAUUUCCUUUUCUAGCAUAACAAAGGAUUGUUAUUGUUGUUUUACAUCUGUGUUAAUGAGAUAAAUAAGUUUAAAAUAAAAAGAUGUGUACCAGGCA
This 14509-nucleotide small RNA is filed under the name Pan troglodytes (chimpanzee). Its description in RNAcentral is "retained intron". The record is from RNAcentral. Lineage: Eukaryota; Metazoa; Chordata; Mammalia; Primates; Hominidae.